UAAUGAGUGUUUUACUGCACUUUUUAAAAAAUAGUAUUUACCUUGUGUGCAAUGUUGUGUGGUAUUUCUCACCUCGCGUGAGUAUUUCACACCUACACCAACCUAUAACCUUGAACCACUUUGUCUGAAAAACUAUUAUGAAUACUUAAUUCAAAAUA
This 158-nucleotide unclassified non-coding RNA is filed under the name uncultured Mortierella. Its description in RNAcentral is "sequence contains ITS1". The record is from RNAcentral. Lineage: Eukaryota; Fungi; Mortierellomycota; Mortierellomycetes; Mortierellales; Mortierellaceae.